UACGUAGUGGGCUAGCGUUGUCCGGAUUUAUUGGGCGUAAAGAGCGUGUAGGCGGCCAGGUAGGUCUGGUGUGAAAACUCGAGGCUUAACCUCGAGAUGUCAUCGGAAACCAUCUGGCUAGAGUCCGGAAGAGGAGAGUGGAAUUCCUGGUGUAGCGGUGAAAUGCGCAGAUAUCAGGAAGAACACCAAUGGCGAAAGCAGCUCUCUGGGACGGUACUGACGCUGAGACGCGAAAGCGUGGGGAGCGAACAGG
Molecule: ribosomal RNA, 253 nt
Filed under: uncultured bacterium
Lineage: Bacteria
Description: partial 16S ribosomal RNA
Rfam family: Bacterial small subunit ribosomal RNA
Source: RNAcentral